GGCAACAUGGCCGAGUGGUUAAGGCGCUAGAUCCAGGUUCUAGUUCGAAAGAGCGUGGGUUCGAGUCCCACUGUUGUCA
This 79-nucleotide transfer RNA is filed under the name Armillaria ostoyae. It matches the Rfam family "tRNA". Rfam says of the family: Transfer RNA (tRNA) molecules are approximately 80 nucleotides in length. Their secondary structure includes four short double-helical elements and three loops (D, anti-codon, and T loops). The record is from RNAcentral. Lineage: Eukaryota; Fungi; Basidiomycota; Agaricomycetes; Agaricales; Physalacriaceae.